RNAcentral lists this ribosomal RNA (462 nucleotides) under uncultured bacterium. RNAcentral's name for it is "partial 16S ribosomal RNA". It matches the Rfam family "Bacterial small subunit ribosomal RNA", at positions 28 to 507 of the family's 1533-position model. The record is from RNAcentral.
GACGAACGCUGGCGGCGUGCUUAACACAUGCAAGUCGAACGGAAAGGCCCUUCGGGGUACUCGAGUGGCGAACGGGUGAGUAACACGUGGGUGAUCUGCCCUGCACUUUGGGAUAAGCCUGGGAAACUGGGUCUAAUACCGAAUAGGACCACGCGCUUCAUGGUGUGUGGUGGAAAGCUUUUGCGGUGUGGGAUGGGCCCGCGGCCUAUCAGCUUGUUGGUGGGGUAAUGGCCUACCAAGGCGACGACGGGUAGCCGGCCUGAGAGGGUGACCGGCCACACUGGGACUGAGAUACGGCCCAGACUCCGACGGGAGGCAGCAGUGGGGAAUAUUGCACAAUGGGCGCAAGCCUGAUGCAGCGACGCCGCGUGAGGGAUGACGGCCUUCGGGUUGUAAACCUCUUUCAAUAGGGACGAAGCGCAAGUGACGGUACCUAUAGAAGAAGCACCGGCCAACUACGUG